UGAAGACUAUCUGAGCACAGCACAGAAGGGUAAGACACGGAACGCCAGGCAACAGAGUGACCACCCUUGGGAAAUAGACUCCAGCAGCCACCACAGUUAAAAUGAAGUGCAAGGCAGUUUUAUGAUAGACCGCCGGGACUGUGAGCAUCAUUGACAGGAAAACCUUGAUAAGGCUACAAGAGUUAGAUAGUGAUUUUAUACAGGAACUUUGACAGACUCGGGUCUCAGGGUGGACAAGAGCUAGACAGACACAAAGAAAGGCAUUAAUAAACAAGGAAGCCGUAGAGUGAGAGACAUGAAGAAGCAGGCUUCUACUCAGCAAAAUGUAGGAGAGUGGAGUGUUUAAUGGAGGGAGGAGAGACAAGGAGUAGAGAGAAAUGACCUGGGAAGCACCUUGAAUGUCACAUAGUGAAAUUUAAAUAUGUUCCUUCAGAAAAUAAGGAUUUAUGUGUGUCUUUCUUGGAUCAUCAUUCAAGAAGGAACAUUACAGUGUUUCUGGAAUGGGCUCUUGCGAUGAGUAGGAAUAAGGUGUUGUUAGUAGAAAGGGAAAGAAACAUAGCUGAAUAGCUUGCAUGGUACUGAGUGAGGGGCUUGGCAGAGAAAGCAAGGAUGAGGGAGGCAAUAAAUUGGGACUUUAUACAUUUUAAAUUCACAUUCUGCAGUGUAUUUUUGUGAUAAUACUAUUUUUGUUCAUCUACCCAUCCAGGUGGCAUUUAAAAAGAUGUCAUCCUGAUAGUCGUAUCAAGGCUUAAGAUGAGGGUCCUAGAGGUAUCAUCUUUUUCACUAUGAGCCUCUUCAAGUCCUCCUGGACAUAGAGUAGGGCACUCAAAAAUAGCUAUAUAGCUUUUAGAUCACUUAAUAUGUAUAAUAUUAUACUAAUUAGAUUAUAUCUACUUUCCCCUUUAAUCCUUUCAGAAGUCUUGUAGUCUGGUAGAAGAUUAUUUCCUUCAUUAGGGGCUGGGGAAAGAGCUCGAUAAAGCGGCUGCCGUACAAGUGUGAGGCACAAAUUCAGACGCCCAUCACCACGUACGUAAAACACAAAUCGGGCGUGGCAGCCUGCAUUUUAACCCUGGUGACGGCAUACGUACAUAAGCAUAAAGAUUAUAAAACUGUGGUGUUUGGUGUCUUUAGGGUGAAAGGUUGUAUGCCACUUACCCUUAGAUAUUAGAAAAAACUGUGUUUCUCUGCUGUCUGGACAGAAUGUGACUAAGCAAGAGAGUCCAAGGUUCAGACAAUGAAAGGGGCCAAUGCAAUGGGUAUGGAUUCGUGCAAUAUUUCUUAGAUUUGAUAUUCUUCAGAGACUCAAACAAUGGUCCACUAGGCAACACAUGGUAUCUUAAAUUUUAUGAAAACCAAAACUUUCAAGAAUACACAAAUUCAGAGGAAAAAUAAAAAUAAUUUUAUACUUUUACCUGUUAAAAUGUACUAUUGUUUUGUCAUUUGAGACUAGACCACCUUCAAAAGUAUAGAGUAUCAUUGCGCCUUCCAUCUUUCAGAAGCUGCGCAAAGUCCCUUGGGCAAAGAUCUCCAGCCUACAGAGUUUCCCAUCCUGCUGCCUUCCUUCCCCAAGGAACACACUUUCCACCUCAGAUUUCCAGGGUUGCCCAGCACUUGGGGAGUUCCGAAGCUCUGGGUGAAGUUCUGAACUAUUCUCUGGCCGGCUUUGAAGUGGAAUUUGAAGAAACACUCAGCAUAUCACAUACAAGGAAUACGCCUGACAGGAGUAACCACACUUAUGCUGUUACGUUCUGUAUAACAGCAUUUGCAAACACAUAAAGCAACUGUAAAUGUUCUUACAACUUCAUGUCUCUAUGCACAUGUUUUCUAAUUAUAGAUGAGAACCUGGCUGUAAUUCUGACACAUCUAAGAGAUCUGGGACUGUAGUUAAUUAAAUAGACACAUUUUAAUCUUUUAUUGUUGUUUCAAAAUACAAUGACAAGCUCAUGGAUCAUAAGAAGCUGAUGUCUAAGGACUCGUAACUCACAGAGUGGAAGAGUCACCACCUCAAGUGUCUGCUGACUGGAUGCAAGGAACUAAUCAAAUCCCCGAGGAAUUAGCUGAAAGUGUAUGCAAUCUCUCCUGUUCCUGGUUUGCAACCUACCUUGUCAGAUUAAGUAAUAAAUUCCUAAAAACCCUGGCCAAUUCUGAAAGCCCAUACUUGAAUUGUAUAUUAAACCUGAGCUGGGGAGAUA
This is a long non-coding RNA of Peromyscus eremicus (cactus mouse), 2192 nucleotides long. RefSeq lists it as uncharacterized. The record is from RefSeq and is a predicted model, not a curated record. The transcript has 2 exons. NCBI's taxonomy places the organism in Eukaryota, Metazoa, Chordata, Mammalia, Rodentia, Cricetidae.